GGUAGCAUGCCAGAGUGGUUAAUGGGUGAGAUUUGAAUCUACUCUUCUCUAUCUCAUGGCUUCGGCCUCGCAGGUUCGAACCCUGCUGCUAUCG
This is a non-coding RNA of Phialemonium atrogriseum, 94 nucleotides long. The record is from the annotation of a RefSeq genome assembly. Lineage: Eukaryota; Fungi; Ascomycota; Sordariomycetes; Cephalothecales; Cephalothecaceae.